GAUGAACGCUGGCGGCGUGCCUAAUACAUGCAAGUCGAGCGAACGGACGAGAAGCUUGCUUCUCUGAUGUUAGCGGCGGACGGGUGAGUAACACGUGGAUAACCUACCUAUAAGACUGGGAUAACUUCGGGAAACCGGAGCUAAUACCGGAUAAUAUUUUGAACCGCAUGGUUCAAAAGUGAAAGACGGUCUUGCUGUCACUUAUAGAUGGAUCCGCGCUGCAUUAGCUAGUUGGUAAGGUAACGGCUUACCAAGGCAACGAUGCAUAGCCGACCUGAGAGGGUGAUCGGCCACACUGGAACUGAGACACGGUCCAGACUCCUACGGGAGGCAGCAGUAGGGAAUCUUCCGCAAAGGGCGAAAGCCUGACGGAGCAACGUCGCGUGAGUGAUGAAGGUCUUCGGAUCGUAAAACUCUGUUAUUAGGGAAGAACAUAUGUGUAAGUAACUGUGCACAUCUUGACGGUACCUAAUCAGAAAGCCACGGCUAACUACGUG
RNAcentral lists this ribosomal RNA (497 nucleotides) under uncultured bacterium. RNAcentral describes it as "partial 16S ribosomal RNA". It matches the Rfam family "Bacterial small subunit ribosomal RNA", at positions 28 to 507 of the family's 1533-position model. The record is from RNAcentral.